RNAcentral lists this ribosomal RNA (445 nucleotides) under uncultured bacterium. Its description in RNAcentral is "partial 16S ribosomal RNA". It matches the Rfam family "Bacterial small subunit ribosomal RNA", at positions 354 to 796 of the family's 1533-position model. The record is from RNAcentral.
GUGAGGAAUAUUGGUCAAUGGGCGCAAGCCUGAACCAGCCAUCCCGCGUGCAGGAAGACGGCCCUAUGGGUUGUAAACUGCUUUUCCGGGGGGAGAAUUUUUCCGUCGUGACGGGAAUUGACGGUACCCCGGGAAUAAGCAUCGGCUAACUCCGUGCCAGCAGCCGCGGUAAUACGGAGGAUGCGAGCGUUAUCCGGAUUUAUUGGGUUUAAAGGGUGCGUAGGCGGAAUGAUAAGUCAGUGGUGAAAACCUGCAGCUUAACUGUAGACUUGCCGUUGAUACUGUCAGUCUUGAGUGUGGUCAAGGUAGGCGGAAUGUGUAAUGUAGCGGUGAAAUGCUUAGAUAUUACACAGAACACCGAUUGCGAAGGCAGCUUACUGGGCCAUUACUGACGCUGAUGCACGAAAGCGUGGGGAUCGAACAGGAUUAGAUACCCGAGUAGUCC